GGUUCUCUCCGAAAUAGCUUUAGGGCUAGCCUCAAGUGAUGAUUAUUGGAGGUAGAGCACUGUUUGGACGAGGGGCCCCUCUCGGGUUACCGAAUUCAGACAAACUCCGAAUGCCAAUUAAUUUAACUUGGGAGUCAGAACAUGGGUGAUAAGGUCCGUGUUCGAAAGGGAAACAGCCCAGACCACCAGCUAAGGUCCCAAAAUAUAUGUUAAGUGGAAAAGGAUGUGGCGUUGCCCAGACAACUAGGAUGUUGGCUUAGAAGCAGCCAUCAUUUAAAGAGUGCGUAAUAGCUCACUAGUCGAGUGACACUGCGCCGAAAAUGUACCGGGGCUAAACAUAUUACCGAAGCUGUGGAUUGUCCUUUGGACAAUGGUAGGAGAGCGUUCUAAGGGCGUUGAAGCAUGAUCGUAAGGACAUGUGGAGCGCUUAGAAGUGAGAAUGCCGGUGUGAGUAGCGAA
This 459-nucleotide ribosomal RNA is filed under the name Staphylococcus aureus. RNAcentral describes it as "partial 23S ribosomal RNA". It matches the Rfam family "Bacterial large subunit ribosomal RNA", at positions 851 to 1313 of the family's 2925-position model. The record is from RNAcentral. Lineage: Bacteria; Bacillati; Bacillota; Bacilli; Caryophanales; Staphylococcaceae.